This 190-nucleotide ribosomal RNA is filed under the name uncultured fungus. Its description in RNAcentral is "partial 18S ribosomal RNA". It matches the Rfam family "Eukaryotic small subunit ribosomal RNA", at positions 892 to 1078 of the family's 1831-position model. The record is from RNAcentral. Lineage: Eukaryota; Fungi.
UAGUAUUCAAUUGUCAGAGGUGAAAUUCUUGGAUUUAUUGAAGACUGACUACUGCGAAAGCAUUUGCCAAGGAUGUUUUCAUUAAUCAAGAACGAAAGUUAGGGGAUCGAAGACGAUCAGAUACCGUCGUAGUCUUAACCAUAAACUAUGCCGACUAGGGAUCGGAUGAUGUUAAUUUUUUAAUGACUCA